RNAcentral lists this ribosomal RNA (277 nucleotides) under uncultured bacterium. RNAcentral's name for it is "partial 16S ribosomal RNA". It matches the Rfam family "Bacterial small subunit ribosomal RNA", at positions 29 to 334 of the family's 1533-position model. The record is from RNAcentral.
AGUGAACGCUAGCGGUGCGCCUAACACAUGCAAGUCGAGCGAGGCUUCGAGCCGAGCGGCGAACGGCUGAGUAACACGUUGGAACCUGCCCCAGACUCAGGGAUAACACCGAGAAAUCGGUGCUAAUACCGGAUAGUCUCGUAAGAGUAAAGCUUUUGCGGUCUGGGAGGGGCCUGCGGCAUAUCAGGUAGUUGGUAAGGUAAUGGCUUACCAAGCCUAUGACGUGUAGCUGGUCUGAGAGGACGAUCAGCCAGAAUGGAACUGAGACACGGUCCAU